This 201-nucleotide long non-coding RNA is filed under the name Pelobates cultripes (western spadefoot toad). The record is from RNAcentral. Lineage: Eukaryota; Metazoa; Chordata; Amphibia; Anura; Pelobatidae.
CAUUAAUAAACUCAACACAUUGUAUAACUCGUUCUGCCGAUUUGUGCUACAAUGUAAUUACAGGACCCAUCAUUGUGACAUGCUAAAAGAACUAAACUGGCUAUCGCUGGAAUCCAGAUGCACCCUUCAUCUUUCCAGCCUUGUUUUUAAGAGCUUUUCUGGGAAACUCCCACCCUACCUGAACAAAAUGCUUUCCCCAGC